GCUAAACGCGAAGAACCUUACCCACACUUGACAUACCUCUUGGGACUUUCAGAGAUGAUUGUCUUCGGUUCGGCCGGGGAGGGAGUACAGGUGGCUGCAUGGCGUGUCGUCAGCUCGUGUCGUGAGAUGUUUGGUUAAGUACCACGCAACGAGCGCAACCCUCCAUCGUCUGUUGCCACUCAUUUAGUUGGGAACUCUGACGAGACUGCCGGUGAUAAGCCGGAGGAAGGCGGGCGACGUCAAGUCAUCAUGGCCCUUACGUGUGGGGCCGACAAACGUGCUACAACGGCGGUGACAGUGCGCAGCUAAAUCGCAAGAUUAAGCUAAUCGCAAAAAACCGUACUCAGUUCAGAUUGUCCUCUGCAACUCGAGGGCAUGAAGUUGGAAUCGCUAGUAAUCGGCCAUCAGCAUGGGCCGGUGAAUACGUUCCC
RNAcentral lists this ribosomal RNA (431 nucleotides) under uncultured bacterium. RNAcentral's name for it is "bacterial SSU rRNA". It matches the Rfam family "Bacterial small subunit ribosomal RNA", at positions 954 to 1375 of the family's 1533-position model. The record is from RNAcentral.